RNAcentral lists this long non-coding RNA (442 nucleotides) under Mytilus galloprovincialis (Mediterranean mussel). Lineage: Eukaryota; Metazoa; Mollusca; Bivalvia; Mytilida; Mytilidae. The record is from RNAcentral.
AUAUUUUUUACAAAGUAUAAUUUCAUUUUAAAAUGUUCCAUAAAAGAGGGUCUGAUUGGGGUUUACGGAAUAUAGAAUAAUGGGCAAAAAAUUGCAGAAUGAAAUGCAAAAAAGAAAAAAAGAAAAAAAGUAUAAUGGGGUGCUAAAAUAUAAAGAAUAAAGAAUAUUGGUAAUACUAAAUAAAAAAAUAAUAUCAGAUUAUUACAUGGCAUUUUUCAUAUCGCAUGUAUUAUCAGCCCUAAGUUCAAUAUCAGCCCAAGAGCCGCCAUGGCUCGAGGGCUGAUAUUGACCGAGGGUUGAUAAUACAUGCGAUAUGAAAAAUGACAUGUUAUGGUCUUUUUAUCAUAUGCUUCAACAAUGUAGAAAAAUAACAGAUUCAUGGAUUGAUCCUUUUACGUGGUUCCCAAACAGAAGUUCAAAGAGUGAAAAGUUCACGGACGUC